Anneissia japonica is the source of this 783-nucleotide long non-coding RNA. RefSeq lists it as uncharacterized. NCBI's taxonomy places the organism in Eukaryota, Metazoa, Echinodermata, Crinoidea, Comatulida, Comatulidae. The record is from RefSeq and is a predicted model, not a curated record. The transcript has 2 exons.
CAAAGACAUUUUAACAGAAAUGUUUAGCGAUAAUGUCAUAAACUGGGGCCGUAUAAUUAUGGUUUUUGUGUUUGGAGCGAGGUUAGCUGUUUUAUGUAAAGAUAGAAAUAGAACUGAUUUGAUUGAUCAAGUAAUACAGAAUGUAGACAAAUACUUGAAGACGGAAUUUUUGGAAUGGAUUAAUAUCCAAGGAGGUUGGAACAAUUUCGAUCAAUCGUAUACUCAACACAAAACGACAGCAGAAAUUCCUCUAAUGAACGUUUCGUUAGGGAUAGCGUUAAGCCUAAUAGCAACCUUGUAUCUAUACAACACAUUCUGUUAGGAUGAUAUGUGUGAAUUAUGUGUAUAUCGACAUACACUUGUCCAGGAUGUUUCUUUUGCCAGCCGUCAAUUGGUGUAUAAAAUACCUACAGGAACUUUGCUGGUGAAUUUUACAAUAAAGGUGAAUCUGGUCCAGAGUCAGAAGAAAAUGGCAAUGGGAAAACUACACAGAAAUAUAUUUCGAUGUUCUUGUAGGACUAGAGCGAACCAGGUAAUCUGGAAUACUGGUAUUUGUUUUCAUGCAAAAUUUGAUCAAAUCAAAUAACGUUAACUUUUAUUCUACAGUGGGAAACGUUAUGCCAGUAAUCGAGCAUCACAACGCGAGAUAUUGAAGGAAUUCCCGGAAGAGCGUUUGAUAAAUGAACACUUAAUACAUGAAUUUUUAAAUUAUAUGAUGAUCUGUAUAAUUAUUAGUUUGAAACAAAAUAAAUGAAAAGCACUCUUGCUUAUUGUUGAAACAUA